This is a long non-coding RNA of Gallus gallus (chicken), 4282 nucleotides long. RefSeq lists it as uncharacterized. Lineage: Eukaryota; Metazoa; Chordata; Aves; Galliformes; Phasianidae. The transcript is spliced from 7 exons. The record is from RefSeq and is a predicted model, not a curated record.
ACACUUGGAAGGUGCUCAGCAGCUCCAGGAGGAACGAGCAAAGGUGCGGGCGGGCGUGCAGGCGGCGGAGAGCCAAACUGCGGCACAGGCCCACGGCUGCCACAACGGCUGCCAUCAGCCCCAGCGACGUCCAGAUGCCGCCCGCAGCCAUGGCCACAGUCCCACUCGCUGAGUGACUCGAAAGAGGAGUUCGCUCCGGUCCAGCCUCACUGCCUGUGGGGAGAAAUGAAGAAAGAGGGAGGGAAAAUAGCAACACUUGGCCUUACAAGGUAGAAGGCUGCUUCUUUCCCCACCUGCUUGCAGCUGUGAGGUCUCUGCCCUCAGCUCGGCUCAGCCUGACAGGGGAGCGGGCACGGGGAUCCCCGUCCCCACGGCAGCGGGGGAAGGAGGACGUCUCUCCCUUCAGUCUGCGGGGGAAGAGGGGUGCCCUCUCUGAGGCGAGGAGGAAGGGAGAACACCCCCUCACAGAGAGCCACCCGCGAGGGAAGAGACGAGCCGAUUCCUCACGCAGCCGGUUUGGAAGCUUACAUAAAUCACUGAAUAAGCGCGCACCAGCAGCCGGGCGAGAAACACUCCCCACGCAGCUCACCGCCGCCCGCCCUCCUCAGCGGGGUGGCCGCGGCCCCCGGCGGUGCUGCGCAUGCGCGAAGUCGGCUCCGCUGCUUGGAGCGGGGGGGGCGCGCGAGCUGGGCGCUUUCCCGGCCUUUGGCGCUGAGGUGACAGAGGUUUCAUUUAAGAACAGAAGGAUCUAACAUCCCCGAGUUUGAAGACAAGCUGCUUCCAAAAUACAAUAGAAGUAGAUCAAAAAGCAAAUGGGAACUCUGCUUUCUUUAUGAACUGAUGAGGAAAGACUUUAAGAGAAAAAGAGGAGGCAGCACAUCUUAGGAUUUGAAUCAGACAACUGCAACAGCAAGUUUGACCGAAGUGUGAGAAGAUUUGCUAAAUGGAGAACUUCUGUGUAGAGGCAUAACUUAGCUAUGAAAGCUGCUGCUGCAUGGCUAUUCUUGGCCUUAAAAUUGAGCAAUAGGUUUGCUGUUUGCUCUGGACCAAAGCUCCAGCUGAGUCAAGUGGAGAUUUGAAAGUUUUCAUGAGGGUUUGGCCAACUUACAGUGAAAAAGGCAUUGGAAUAUGCAUGAAAAAAAAGAGGAAAAAGAAUUUGAGCUGCUAAUUCUUCUAAGUGAGGAUCUGUGGCAAUGUGGAUUACUGCCACAUCUGAGUUUGCAACGAUGAAGAAAACUGUAUAAUGCUUGAAUUGCAAGCCGGUUGCUGUUAGAAGCACAUGAAAUAAUUAUUUGGAAGACCAAUCAGGAAGCAUUCAAAUCUUCCUUGGUGACGUGGACUACUUUAGUUGUGUUGCUUGCUGCCUUCUAGAUCUCAGACAUCAGGGGUAAGAUUAGCCUGGCACUGUGAAAGUGCUUACUCGACGUUUCAGUGUAGAAGGAGUACUGCUGGAUUUUGUGAUCCUGCUUCUCUGCCAAUGCCAAACAGGUUCACACAGAACAAGCCUUGCAUGCUGAAACCUGGUCAGUCUGAAACAGCGUGUUAGAACAAGAGUUUACAGUUGGACAUACUUUGCUUUGGGGAUCGGUGGAGAGUUUGGAGACUGAUACAGAUACCUUGCAACUGGAUACCCAUGAGAAUGAAAGAGCUGAACUGAAAGAGAUUAAGUAGCUCUUUGUACAUUCUUCCGUGUGAAGUGUAAAGAACUGAGGGCUUCAUUGUUUUGUAACCACUUAAAAAUUAAAGGGGAAAAACACUUGCUUUAGCAUGGUCCUCUUGAAUAUGGUUUUCUUAGAUGUGCUCUUCCCAGAAAUCUAGACAUAUGUGCUCUAAACAAAAAAUCCUCCAUGCAGAGAUUGCACAACAGAGCAUUGUCCACUACUUAACCUAAAUGUUUCCAACUCCAGUUCCCUAUGGGCAAGGAGCUUUCCCACACUUUCAAACACAAUCCACAUACAUCAGCAGUUGGCUCACUUUCUGCAACAGCCCUUUGAAAAUGAUUUACCUUAGGUCUCUAGGCCUUCUUUCUCUAUGCAGCCAUUUGCAUCAUACUGCCUGGGUGGGACACGGCCACCACCAGCAGAGUAAGAUUUGGUGUCAUAUCUUCAUGCAGGAUUGCUGUCUCACAAAGCAUUUGAACAGAGGCUGCCAGUCUGAUGCAAACAGCAAUAUGCAGUGUGCCUGGUUUGGUCUCCCCUGUAGUUCACCUGCCUGCUGAAGAUUAGAUCUCUGUAUGUCUAUACUGAGCCAGGUCUGUUCGAUUAGAUUUGUAUUUCCUAUUGCAGAUGCAGUCUAAAGGAAUGAUCUAGUCUGAGAACAGAGCUGGGAGACAGGAACUCCUGAAUUCAAGGAGCAUAAUUGCAGUCAUUUUUUUUUGCUGCACAGCCUCAGGCUACUGGUUGAGUGAGCUCUUAUCUCAUUUUCCCCAUCUGUAAUACUGCUCAAAGGGUGCUUUGGUGAUUAAUUUAUGCUGAUGAAUUUAAUGACUUGGUAAGAAUUGAACACUUUGAUAAGAAUUGCAACAUAUCCCAGAAAAUGUGGCAAAAAGAAGCAGAAUAGCCAGCCCUAAAACUGCUAAUUAACAAACCCAGAAAAGAUGCUGAGACUCAGGACAAGAAACCUCAUUGCAGAAAGUAAUGCAGGCUCAAUGGUGCAUUUUGUCUAAAAUGGAGAUCCCAGUCGAAGUUAUCCUUCCCCAACUAGUGCAGUGGGAUGCCUCUCUGAUUUUAGAGUGUUUGACAAUAAAGUUAGACUGAAAUCUCAGUUUUAUCUUGGGUUGUGGUGCCCAGUGAAAAGGCUCAUGUGCUGCUAUGAUGUUAUUUUGCAAGUCCUCUAGGUAGUGUAGGAAAAAUAAUGUGGAAAGGUAGUGUAGGAAAGUGUAUGUGAAGACAGACAAAACUUAUACAACUUGCACUUCCCUCACUUAAGACAACAUAUCUGGUUCCAUAUGUUAUAUUUACAACAUCAUGCAAUACAAUCAAUUUAUGAAGUUUUCCUAGGUUCUGUAGCCCAAUCUGCAACUCAUCAGUAGUUUGGAGAGCACUGAGAUGUACAUCAUACCAAAGGAAUUCUGCAGGGCCAGCUCUCUUGGCAGGCUCAAUGUGAUCUGUAUCUCCAGAGUAACUUUGGUGUUAGUGUGACCAACCAGUAUAAUUGAAUUACCAGCAUCACUGUACGCAGCCAAACUGUCCCUGAGCUUUUGCAGCUCCCUCUGUUGGAUUAACCAUGGAAGCAGCUCUUUAACGGGCAAAAUGGACAUUCCAGCUCAGCAUUUUUGGUGAGCUAAUUUUACCACACACCUAUACAAAUGACGUUGCUGAAGGCCUUUACUUUGUACUUUAAAUGCACUGUUGUUCAAAGCUGGCAGGAAAUGUUUCAAAACUCUGCAUAUUUUUUUUCUAAACAUUUCAGGCAGCUGCUCUAUAAUCUUUGUGUUAUGAUUCACUUAAUUCAUCGUGGACAUUAUGCAAAUAGGUAGGAAUGGAGAACGUUACUUUCAUAUUUUCACAGCUUCCUUGUGAAACAUCAAUACGGAUCACCCAGUGACUCCAUGUCUGUCAGUGCUCUGCAGUUUUCGGUUGCUAUCCAUGUAACCCAGUGAGACAGAAUCAGAGAUAAGGAAAGGAAUGGGGGAAGGUUUUGCUCUGCAGUUCAUUCUCCAGGGCUUUGUUCAGUCCACUUUUAAAUGGCUCAAGCUACUGAAGUGAUUCAAGCUCUGACAUUUUGGCAGGGUGUGAAACAGUGUCUGGCAGAGGUGCUGUGACUGAAGGGCUGGUUUUGUUCUCUCUGAAAUGUGUGGCAAAUGUCUCUCCAGCUUCAAUCAGAACAGGAUUGAGUCUUGGAAGUCAUGCAGUGUGAAUAAGCUCAGCAAAAGCAGCAAAAUAAUUUAACUGUUACACCAUUACAUUAUUACAAAGCCCUCCAGGCUUGCUGUCCUCUGUUUAUUUGAGUGUCCUCAUAUGUAGUGAAAGCAAGAAAAAUGAGCUGAUUUUGUUAGAUUUUGAGCACUGAAAUAGCCCUAGAUUAGUGGUCCCCAUCUGAUGUCUCAUUCAAACCACUGCAUGCAUUGCACAGCUUUUCUUUUUAAACCCUGAAGUGGAAUCUCUCCAGAGAUAUACUUUAAAAAAAUCAGUAGAGAGGAAAAACUAAUUGAUUUUUUAAGUUAUUUUUAUGAUUAUUUUCUUUCUCAGACAGCCCCUUACACUUGGGCAGCCCCCAAUGAAAGGUGAAUUUAUUGCAGUCUGUUUCACUGCUCUCUUUCAGAGUAGGUUCCCUUGUUGCC